This 1764-nucleotide long non-coding RNA is filed under the name Homo sapiens (human). Its description in RNAcentral is "HSALNT0390199". Lineage: Eukaryota; Metazoa; Chordata; Mammalia; Primates; Hominidae. The record is from RNAcentral.
CAGCAACAAUGACCCCAGUCACUCCCACCCCAAAGCCAGGGAAACAUCAUCUUGUCACCUCUGGAUUUCUCCUCACCCCCUUGGGUUAAAGCUGAGCAGACAGGGUGGCACUUCUGAAUUCAGAGGCUGCAAUGAGCUGAGAAAAACAAGCAUCUGUGGCCCCCUCCAGGACCCACCAAGUAGAGGGGAUGUUGCCCCGGGUGCUGCAGGAGGUGGGAAGGGGACUCCAAGGAAGUUGUCCUCCCUAGAGAGUCCAUCAGCAAAUUGUCUCAUGUAGCCAUAACAGCCAGGAGCAAGGCAGGGAAGGAGGGUUUUGUCUAAGGAAAACCAGUGUAUUGUAAACAGGAUAAAAGGGGCUGGAAAGCCCCACUUAUCACUGACUAAUAUGUCCCCAGGUCAUCGGGGAGCUGGACCCCUACCAGCAGCCCUGAGGAGGGAAAGAAUUCCCGAUUAACCCCAUCACCUGUGAGCUGGGCCAGGGCAAAGGUCUGGCUUUUUCUCUUGCUAAAUGAUUCCCAUGGUCAUUAGGCAUUCGCAGGGCUCAGCAGCAUUUCUAGGAAGCCCUCCCAGACUAGAGAAAUGCCUUCUGCACCCGCUGCUCUUUGGGGCCAUACGGAGCAGGGAGUAGGUGUGCACAUCCUUGGGACAGCAGGAGAGGAGGUGUGAGGAAGGCAGAGGUGGCAUGAGGCUAGGGGAAGCUGCAGGGGGAGGAUGGUGGUCUUCUGGUCAAUCGUGGGUGUGGAACAGACUUGUGUGUCACAUCAAGCGAUGGGGGUUGGCCUAGUGUAGACUUGAGGGGCUGGCUGAGAGAUUGGUCACUCUGGGCUCUCACUAAUAAUGAUCUCAUUCAUUCCUUACGAGCUCCUCAUAUCCAGAUGAGAAACAACACUGAGACUCAGCCGGGUUACGUAAAACAUCCAAAGCUAUGCAGCAGGCUGAUGGCCAGCUGAGACCUAAAUUUAGGCCUCACUGACUCCUACCUUGGGCAUGUAAGCACCAGUUGGAUCAGAUACACCAGGGAAACUGAGGCCCAGAAAGGGAUGUGAUCUGCCCGAUUGUGCAGAAUUCAGAGCCCAGCUGGAACCUGAAUGUCCUGACCCCCCAUCCAGUGCCCCCCUUCCUACUCUAUGCUGCCUCUCGGGUGACACACACAGCAGCAAGUGAGCCCUGCAGACAGAGACAUUCUAGAACCCAGGCCUGGGACCAGUGCUCAGGAGCCAUACUCUCAGCUAGAUUGCCUUCAGCCUGCCAGGAGGAGGAGCAGCCCAGUCCAGACUGAAAGCCUCCAAGGAGGAAGUUCUACCGGCUUCUCCAUGCCUCCAAACCCACUGUACCUUGUGCAUUCCAUCUGGAAUUUUCUUCUGUUGAAAGGAAGGUGCUGGGUGGGAGGAGGAGGGAGAGGAUCAGGAAAAAUAACUAAUAAAUACUAGGCUUAAUAUCUGACACAAGUUUACGUAUAUAACAAACCUGCACAUGUACCCCUGAACUUAAAAGAAAAGUUAAACAAAAAAUAAAGGUGCUGUUGCCAUGGCCCAAGCCACAGCGUCUAGAGCUGUGCCAUCCAAUACGCUAGCUGUUAGCCACAUGCAGCUCCUGAGUACUUGAAACGUGGCUAGAGCAAAUCGAGAUGUGAUGUCACUGUAAAGCAUACACUGGCUUUCGAAGACAGUACAGAAAAAGGUAAAAAGAGAUGGAGGUUUCACUAUGUUGCCCAGGCUGGUAUUGAACUCCUGAAUUCAACCGAUCCUCCUGCCUCAGCCUCCC